CUUAACACAUGCAAGUCGAACGAUGAUCCCCAGCUUGCUGGGGGGAUUAGUGGCGACCGGGUGAGUAACACGUGAGUACCCUGCCCUUAACUCUGGGAUAAGCCUGGGAAACUGGGUCUAAUACCGGAUAUGACUCCUCAUCGCAUGGUGGGGGGUGGAAAGCUUUUUGUGGUUUUGGAUGGACUCGCGGCCUAUCAGCUUGUUGGUGAGGCAAUGGCUUACCAAGGCGACGACGGGUAGCCGGCCUGAGAGGGUGACCGGCCACACUGGGACUGAGACACGGCCCAGACUCCUACGGGAGGCAGCAGUGGGGAAUAUUGCACAAUGGGCGCAAGCCUGAUGCAGCGACGCCGCGUGAGGGAUGACGGCCUUCGGGUUGUAAACCUCUUUCAGUAGGGAAGAAGCGAAAGUGACGGUACCUGCAGAUGAAGCGCCGGA
Molecule: ribosomal RNA, 438 nt
Filed under: uncultured bacterium
Lineage: Bacteria
Description: bacterial SSU rRNA
Rfam family: Bacterial small subunit ribosomal RNA
Source: RNAcentral